GGAAAGGACAUGCCAGGAAUGCAGAGCUUCCUCCAUUCCUGGAACUCACUCCCACGGCACACACCACCACUUUGCUCCAAAAGCCAGGCCCUCCCACGCACAUUCUAGGCAGGGGGUGUGGACACCCGCCAUCAGGGACAGAUGACCACGAGGCUGAACUGACAGGUCAGCGCAGGGCCCGAAUUCCCAGACGAAGAGGACGCUUCCUGAAGAUGACGCCUGCUCCUGGCCCACAUGCUCCUUGCACCUGGAGGCCUAUGUGCCGUGGAGGAGAUGCUGUGUCCCCCUGAAGAAUCCUGGCAACAGAAACCAGCACAUAAAACCUGGCCCAAAGAUGCCAACCCACAUGUAUUCUCUUAUUACACUGGAAAUCCUUUAGAGAUCCUUUACCCACUUCCCCUGCAGAAUCUCUCAUAGAGGCGCUUGCUCUGACCCACAGAACCCAGUCCUCACUCCGGACUCUCCCCCAGCAGGCUCCAUCCGUGCCUGUCAGUAGGCCUCUCACUAUGCUGUCCUCACCCUCGGGACAGAUGGACACCAGGGUCGCCCCACCCAGCCUGAGGACCCCCAAGUGCCUCCCAGUCAUCAUGUGCUGCCUUCCUUGAUACCAUGUGAUAAAAAUAUUUUUUCACGAAUAGGUGGUACACGGAGCAUUUUUAGAGCAGUUGAAAUACUGCAUAUGAUACUACAUUGGUGAUACACGUUGUCCAAACCCACAGGAUGCACAACACCAAGAGUGAACCUUAAUGAAGACCAUGGACUUUGGGUGAUGAUGACAUGUCACUGCAGGGUCAUGAGUUACAAUAACUCUGAUAAGGGAUAUGUUGAUGGUGGGGGAGAUCGCAUAUGUGAGGACAAGGGGUAAAUGGGAAAUCUCUACCUUCCUAACAAUU
This is a non-coding RNA of Vicugna pacos (alpaca), 893 nucleotides long. NCBI's taxonomy places the organism in Eukaryota, Metazoa, Chordata, Mammalia, Artiodactyla, Camelidae. The record is from RefSeq and is a predicted model, not a curated record.